Long non-coding RNA from Esox lucius (northern pike), 2195 nucleotides. RefSeq lists it as uncharacterized. Lineage: Eukaryota; Metazoa; Chordata; Actinopteri; Esociformes; Esocidae. The record is from RefSeq and is a predicted model, not a curated record. The transcript is spliced from 6 exons.
AUGCACAUGUGUUCAGCACAGAGAUUCUUGAUUUCCUGAGUUUAACAGGCUGUUGAUUGUUUCCAUUUUUCAACAGGUCCACUUUGAGUCUUUUCCCUCUCACAGAUGGAUCUGCAUGGAGCCAUUCAGGACACGGAGAGAGGUAUGAACUCCUCUUCCUCUUUUUGGGUGGAACUGCUAAGCCUCUCCAGUUUUCAACAGCUUCUUCAUCUGUUGGAUGGAUGUUUGUGACAGUGUCAGACUUCCCAGAGCAGGAAGCAUCCACCUCUGGCCUUCCAUCAAUCCUGCAGGUUGUGAAAAAACACGCAUGUUGCCUUCAAUGAAGGACAGAUGUCGAGCAAUGAAUCGAUCCACUCGAAUAGGCAAGUGUUCAUGCUUGAAAAGGCCGCGUUUGAUGUUUUUAAACUCGGCUUCGACAUUGGCUGAACUUGCAGUGAUUUUGGAGCUCCGGAAGUGAGGGAUCAUUACCCCUGUCCAGAGAGGUCUGUCUGUGUUUGGUCACAUGGAUCCACUUCUUCCAGGUCCGCACCCUCUACAUCUGGAAUGAUGACACACUCUUCUGCAAUUCUGGCUUUUAGCAGUCCCACCGGCAGAUCAUCUUGAUGCAGUGAGCAACAUCAACCUGCACGAAACAAGCAUUUGCACCACUGGGACACUUGAGCUCUCACCCCCUGCCACAACACCCUGAUAAAGGAAUAUAUGGCCAGACUUGCCAUUUGGUCUCUGUAGUUUCCUCACCACUGAGCCAGUUGCAUCAAAACUCACAGUGGGGGUGGCCAAAUUAGGCAGAUGACUUGGCUCAGGAUCUCCAAAAUCCAUCAGCUUUAUUGCCUCUGAUGCCCUCCAUACAUGGGGUUCCUUUCUACCUUCACACAGUUCUUUGGAUAUCUGCACACGCAAGUUACCAGACAUCGGACGUUUGGAACAGCCAGUGUGCAGGGAGUCAUCAGUGUUUUUAAGUGAACACCUGAACAUCAUUGUGCUGUUUAUUUCAGGCUUUUUGUCACAUUUAUGUGAAUUUGGCCACGACACUCCUUACAGUUGCCUCUGAUUACAAUAUAUUUGUCUGUGACUGAUGGAUAGACUUUGGCUCUUUUAAAAGUAAAUGUGCAGGGGCAUUUCACUUCUUGCCAAAUGUGAUGAUUUAUCACAUGCGUCCAGAUACCAGGCUUCAAAAUUGUGUAUUCCUUUUUUUUUGUUUUAGAGAACUUGUUUUUGUAUGUCACUGUUUCAGGCAUAAAUUCAAUCCAUUUCUAAAAUGGAACUUCAAAAUCAAAAUUGCAGCAAUCUUUUGGACUGGAGGAAAGCGACCCUGGCUCAAAAUCAGUGUCAUCACUACUGCCACUUGUUUCAUGAUCACUUUCAUGAGUAAACCCUAAAGCAUUCCAGAUGUUGUGUCUGUUUAAUUUAACAAAAGUGUAUAGUGCCUUUGCAGUGAUCUUGUUGUCUAGCUGUUUACUAAGCUCUGUCCAGAUGCUCUCAUUAGGAGUAGCUAUGUUGCCAUUUUGGAUUAUGGCCUCUUUUGAUGAACACAGGACUGUGAAAAUGGAAUCCCUGUCGACUGCUGGUUUCUUGGGCAUCUGGCAUAAGCAAAACAUAAUUACCCUCAAUUAUUCUGAUUCCAAAAAAUAUCAUGUACAGCAUAAAUUUGUUUUAAUAUAUUACUGUAUUGGUCUGAAUAUAAUGAUCAUAUAAUAUAGUAAGGAUAAUGUAGAUGGAUAAUAUAUCUUAUAUUAGGACCAAUAUGGUAAUGUUCACCCCUAGAUUGUCAUUUUUUAUUGAACUGAAAAUUCAUUGCUAACACUAUCACUAAUUUAGCUAUGAAAUGUUAAAUACAGUUGCACCCAUGGUCGUUUUUUAAUACUAAAAUGAAACUUUGUGCAACUGUAAAUAGCAUUUCAUAGCUAAAUUAGUAAUAGAAGUGUUAUUAUUGAGGUUUCUGUUCAAUAACAAGGUUAGCUCUCUUGAAUGUUGUACAAUAUUCUUGCAGCUACUAGUAUUGUAACAGACAGUUUUAAAACAAUGUAUACUUACAUUGUUCAGAAAUUUGGAUUAGUAACGACUUUUGUAGUUUGAUUUAUAUCGACCUUUUCUCCACUAACUCUACACAAUUUUAUACAAGAGCAUUCUUGAAUGGAAGUGUCACUUGCCCCUAGUGGUGGGAGUGGAGUGUAGCAGAUGAGACUCGUAAAAAU